GACGAACCGUGCGAACGUUAUUCGGAAUCACUGGGCUUAAAGGGCGCGUAGGCGGGCUCGCAAGUCAGGGGUGAAAGCCUCCAGCUCAACUGGAGAAGUGCCUUUGAUACUGUGAGUCUAGAGGGAGGUAGGGGCGUGCGGAACUUCCGGUGGAGCGGUGAAAUGCGUAGAUAUCGGAAGGAACACCGGUGGCGAAAGCGGCGCGCUGGACCUCUUCUGACGCUGAGGCGCGAAAGCGUGGGGAGCAAACAGG
RNAcentral lists this ribosomal RNA (253 nucleotides) under uncultured bacterium. RNAcentral's name for it is "partial 16S ribosomal RNA". It matches the Rfam family "Bacterial small subunit ribosomal RNA", at positions 524 to 776 of the family's 1533-position model. The record is from RNAcentral.